RNAcentral lists this unclassified non-coding RNA (302 nucleotides) under Bombus terrestris (buff-tailed bumblebee). RNAcentral describes it as "misc RNA ENSBTSG00005027877.1". The record is from RNAcentral. Lineage: Eukaryota; Metazoa; Arthropoda; Insecta; Hymenoptera; Apidae.
CGCGAAUCUAAGUCGCGAUUUUGGCGUGGACAAUAUGCGACUCACGUAAUUUCGGAAACAGUAUUUGGUUUCGAUCAGUCAGCGGAGUUCCUCGAAAAUUUCGGCUAGCGAGUCACGCGGCGUGCUUGCACGAACUGGGUCAAUUUGAUUGACGGCAGAAAUCUCGUUGGUCGAGAGCUGGAAUUCUGAAGGCAAGCGCCGAGUUGCGAUGGAACGAACGAACCAAGAUCCUUCGGCUUCGCGGGACGAAUCUUACCACCCAAGAACCUCGCCAAACCAAAGAUAGAGGAAACUAGUGUGAG